RNAcentral lists this ribosomal RNA (425 nucleotides) under uncultured bacterium. RNAcentral describes it as "bacterial SSU rRNA". It matches the Rfam family "Bacterial small subunit ribosomal RNA", at positions 354 to 796 of the family's 1533-position model. The record is from RNAcentral.
GCGAGGGAUUUUCGGCAAUGGGCGCAAGCCUGACCGAGCAACGCCGCGUGCGGGACGACGCCCUUCGGGGUGUAAACCGCUUUUAGGUGGGACGAGGAUGACGGUACCACUUGAAUAAGUCUCGGCUAACUACGUGCCAGCAGCCGCGGUAAGACGUAGGAGACGAGCGUUGUCCGGAUUUACUGGGCGUAAAGGGCGCGCAGGCGGUCGCGCGCGUCGGGCGUGAAAGCCCCCGGCUCAACCGGGGCGGGUCGUCCGAGACGGCGUGACUGGAGGGCGGCAGAGGCUGGUGGAAUUCCCGGUGUAGUGGUGAAAUGCGUAGAGAUCGGGAGGAACACCCGUGGCGAAGGCGGCCAGCUGGGCCGACCCUGACGCUGAGGCGCGAAGGCGCGGGGAGCGAACGGGAUUAGAAACCCCGGUAGUCC